This 768-nucleotide ribosomal RNA is filed under the name Triticum aestivum (bread wheat). RNAcentral's name for it is "partial small subunit ribosomal RNA". Lineage: Eukaryota; Viridiplantae; Streptophyta; Magnoliopsida; Poales; Poaceae. The record is from RNAcentral.
AUGCCUGAUAGCGAGUUCCAUCUGCGUAUGCGGUCACUGCUCGAGCUGACGCAGACGGGAACCGUGGCUGAGUACACGACGUUAUUCUGGGAGCAUCUACACCAUGUGUUGCAUCUCAACUCCAGCCUAAGCAUCAAGUCCUUCAUCCAUCAGUACAUCGAGGGCUUGCGCAAGGAUAUUCAAGCAGACGUGCAGUCGCAGUCGCCGUCUAGCAUCACCAGAGCCUCGUGCCUUGCUCGGAUAAGGGAAGAAGAGAUCAUGAAGGAUGAGGCGACGAGUGCCACGGAGGGUGGCGAUAGCUAUGGCUAUGGAGAACAAGACUCCGGCGUUGAUGCCAACAAGCUUGCUACUCUGAAACCGACCAUGUGCUCGAUGGAGUGCCCGAGUCGUGACGCCACCGUCAACAUCUUCCCCGAGCUUGCAUCCCCUGCCGGGCAUGACGAGGCCCUCGACAUCGACAUCGACACCGUCCACGUCGCUGGACCAAUGCCCGCCAUCUUCUCGAUGGGUGACCUGGCCCAUGGUAGUGAUGACGAUGGCCCUAUGUCAGUAUCCAUGGUCCUAUGGACUACACCAGCCCCACCACAGCGACCGGUACCUAACCUUGAGCUUAUCACGAUGACGCCCACCAGUUGUUUGUUCAAAAGCUCUGUCAAGUGUGCCUAUGUGUUGACGCCCGGGCCCAUGUCGGGUCUGACAAUGGGUCUGAAGGCACAAGGACGGGGGAUUCGGCCAGCACCAUGGCCUUCAUUCUUACAAACAUGCUGA